AAAGCUGCACCGUCUCCUCAACAACCACCCAGUUGUCCGGGAGAUCGAUCACAGAGGGCACGUAACAGAACAAAUACGGGUUAGACGUACUGGCUGCAUCCAUGCAGGGCAGCAUGGCUGCUCCACCUUCCCACGCCCGGCGAUCUCAAAGCCAAGGGGCUGCUUUUUAGAGCACUGGAGUCUGCACGCAGGACCAACACCAGCUUCAGCAUCCAGGAGAAAUUUUUAGACUGACGUGUUUGAUGAAACUAACCUUGUGCUGGUUUUCUACAAAGGUGGAAGAUUUGAAGUACAGAUUUGAAGGCCUUAAUUGUCCAAAAGCUUGCUUUAAAGGCUUAGCUGCAGUGGAUACGGCCAUGGAUUUCUCAAGGAAGCCUCUUAACGUAUGGAUUUGAGUAGCUUCCAUCU
Rhea pennata is the source of this 408-nucleotide long non-coding RNA. RefSeq lists it as uncharacterized. The record is from RefSeq and is a predicted model, not a curated record. The transcript is spliced from 4 exons. Lineage: Eukaryota; Metazoa; Chordata; Aves; Rheiformes; Rheidae.